GACGUAGGGCGCAAGCGUUGUCCGGAUUUAUUGGGCGUAAAGAGCUCGUAGGCGGCUUGUUGCGUCGUCCGUGAAAACCCGCAGCUCAACUGCGGGCUUGCGGACGAUACGGGCAGGCUGGAGUUCGGUAGGGGAGACUGGAAUUCCUGGUGUAGCGGUGAAAUGCGCAGAUAUCAGGAGGAACACCGGUGGCGAGGGCGGGUCUCUGGGCCGAUACUGACACUGAGGAGCGAAAGCGUGGGGAGCGAACAGG
RNAcentral lists this ribosomal RNA (253 nucleotides) under uncultured bacterium. Its description in RNAcentral is "partial 16S ribosomal RNA". It matches the Rfam family "Bacterial small subunit ribosomal RNA", at positions 524 to 776 of the family's 1533-position model. The record is from RNAcentral.